This 441-nucleotide ribosomal RNA is filed under the name uncultured bacterium. RNAcentral's name for it is "partial 16S ribosomal RNA". It matches the Rfam family "Bacterial small subunit ribosomal RNA", at positions 338 to 795 of the family's 1533-position model. The record is from RNAcentral.
CCUACGGGAGGCAGCAGUGGGGAAUAUUGCACAAUGGGGGGAACCCUGAUGCAGCGACGCCGCGUGAGCGAGGAAGUAUUUCGGUAUGUAAAGCACUAUCAGCAGGGACGAAAAAAGAGGGUACCGGACUAAGAAGCCCCGGCUAACUACGUGCCAGCAGCCGCGGUAAAAAGUAGGGGGCAAGGGUUAUCCGGAUUUCAGGGGUGGAAAGGGAGAGUAGACGGCAAGGCAAGCCAGAGGUGAAAGGGCAGGGAUAAACCCUGUACAUGCUUUUGAAACUGUGGUGUUAGAGUGCAGGAGAGGUAAGUGGAAUUCCUAGUGUAGCGGUGAAAUGCGUAGAUAUUAGGAGGAACACCAGUGGCGAAGGCGGCUUACUGGACUUUAACUGACGUUGAGGCUCGAAAGCGUGGGGAGCAAACAGGAUUAGAUACCCCAGUAGUC